AAAUUCACGCAACAGCACUGCAGCUCCGUAAUACAUAUCACGUGGCUUGUACAAAUAGAAGUAAAGGUGAACAUGUGUCAGAGACGCAUCAGCAAGUUUGUUCUGAACCAAGUCAAGAUCAACAUGAUUGGAACUCUCUUAUACAUAAUCUCGUUCAUUUUACUCAAAGGUUCCUGUAAGGGUGUGUUGAUCACUCAGUGGCCUAAAUAUAUCUCCAGUUUUAAAGGCACUUCAGUGGACAUGCACUGUUACCAAAAUGACACAGACUAUGACUACACUUACUGGUACAGACAAAUCAAAGACAAAGAGCCAGUACUUAUAGCCAGAUCUGUAGCUGGCAGGCCCAGUCAGGAGAAGGGUUUUGAAAAUGGCUUCAAAGCCUGGGGACAAAAGAAGAAGUGGUCCCUGACAGUGGAUGUUAAAGAGGACAGUGAUGCAGUUUACCUGUGUGCUGCUAGUUUCCACAGUGCAUAAAUGCUGUUAAUCUGUGGGACAAAAACAUACUGGAAGGCAGCCAGUUCUCACAGCUGACUCAACCACAUGAAUCUUCAUUUUGGUGCAGUAUUACUGAAUUCUCGACAGGAAAUCAAAAUCUGUAAGAAUCUGUGCAAGUUAACUUUUCUUAUUUCUGAUAUAAAACCAAUAAUUAAAUGAAAUUCUGCUUCAGUUUAGAUUGAAAUGCUGAGAAAUAUGCACCGACCAUUUUAUUAGGAAAACCUGUACACCUGCACAUUCACGCAAUUAUCAAAUCAAUUAUGGUCAAUUAUGCAGCAGCAACACAAUUCAUAAAUUCAUGCAGAUACAGGUCGUGAGCUUCAGUUAAUCUUCACAUUAAUUGUCAGACUGGGGAAAAUGGUGAUUUCUUUGACCUUGGCAUGGUGCUGGUGCCAGACAGGCUAGUUUGAA
Molecule: non-coding RNA, 906 nt
Organism: Pangasianodon hypophthalmus (striped catfish)
Lineage: Eukaryota; Metazoa; Chordata; Actinopteri; Siluriformes; Pangasiidae
Source: the annotation of a RefSeq genome assembly